This 253-nucleotide ribosomal RNA is filed under the name uncultured bacterium. RNAcentral's name for it is "partial 16S ribosomal RNA". It matches the Rfam family "Bacterial small subunit ribosomal RNA", at positions 524 to 776 of the family's 1533-position model. The record is from RNAcentral.
UACGGAGGGAGCUAGCGUUAUUCGGAAUUACUGGGCGUAAAGCGCACGUAGGCGGCUUUGUAAGUAAGAGGUGAAAGCCCGGAGCUCAACUCCGGAACUGCCUUUUAGACUGCAUCGCUUGAAUCCAGGAGAGGUGAGUGGAAUUCCGAGUGUAGAGGUGAAAUUCGUAGAUAUUCGGAAGAACACCAGUGGCGAAGGCGGCUCACUGGACUGGUAUUGACGCUGAGGUGCGAAAGCGUGGGGAGCGAACAGG